GAUGGAGAACGUAGCGAAAUGCGAUACGUAAUGUGAAUUGCAGAAUUCAGUGAAUCAUCGAGUCUUUGAACGCACAUUGCGCCCUCUGGUAUUCCGGAGGGCAUGCCUGUCCGAGCGUCAUUGCUGCCCUCAAGCACGGCUUGUGUGUUGGGCCCCGUCCUCCUUCCGGGGGACGGGUCCGAAAGGCAGCGGCGGCACCGCGUCCGGUCCUCAAGCGUAUGGGGCUUUGUCACUCGCUUUGUAGGCCUGGCCGGCGCUUGCCGAUCAACCAAACUUUUUAUCAGGUUGACCUCGGAUCAGGUAGGGAUACCCGCUGAACUUAAGCAUAUCAAUAAGCGGAGGA
RNAcentral lists this unclassified non-coding RNA (343 nucleotides) under soil metagenome. RNAcentral describes it as "partial contains 5.8S ribosomal RNA, internal transcribed spacer 2, and large subunit ribosomal RNA". The stretch from base 1 to 120 matches the Rfam family "5.8S ribosomal RNA", at positions 35 to 154 of the family's 154-position model. The record is from RNAcentral.